RNAcentral lists this ribosomal RNA (482 nucleotides) under uncultured bacterium. RNAcentral describes it as "partial 16S ribosomal RNA". It matches the Rfam family "Bacterial small subunit ribosomal RNA", at positions 30 to 507 of the family's 1533-position model. The record is from RNAcentral.
AUUGAACGCUGGCGGCAUGCUUUACACAUGCAAGUCGAACAGUAACAGGCCGCAAGGUGCUGACGAGUGGCGAACGGGUGAGUAAUGCAUCGGAACGUGCCCAGUCGUGGGGGAUAACUACUCGAAAGAGUAGCUAAUACCGCAUACGAGCUAUGGAUGAAAGCGGGGGACCGUAAGGCCUCGCGCGAUUGGAGCGGCCGAUGUCAGAUUAGGUAGUUGGUGGGGUAAAGGCUCACCAAGCCAACGAUCUGUAGCUGGUCUGAGAGGACGACCAGCCACACUGGGACUGAGACACGGCCCAGACUCCUACGGGAGGCAGCAGUGGGGAAUUUUGGACAAUGGGCGCAAGCCUGAUCCAGCCAUGCCGCGUGCAGGAAGAAGGCCUUCGGGUUGUAAACUGCUUUUGUACGGAACGAAACGGCUCUGGUUAAUACCCGGGGCUAAUGACGGUACCGUAAGAAUAAGCACCGGCUAACUACGUG